Molecule: ribosomal RNA, 253 nt
Filed under: uncultured bacterium
Lineage: Bacteria
Description: partial 16S ribosomal RNA
Rfam family: Bacterial small subunit ribosomal RNA
Source: RNAcentral
UACAGAGGUCUCAAGCGUUGUUCGGAUUCAUUGGGCGUAAAGGGCGCGUAGGCGGCGGGGUCAGUCGGGUGUGAAAUCUCAGAGCUCAACUCUGAAACUGCACUCGAUACUGCUCUGCUUGAGGACUGGAGAGGAGACUGGAAUUCACGGUGUAGCAGUGAAAUGCGUAGAUAUCGUGAGGAAGACCAGUGGCGAAGGCGGGUCUCUGGACAGUUCCUGACGCUGAGGCACGAAGGUCAGGGGAGCAAACGGG